This is a non-coding RNA of Collimonas arenae, 87 nucleotides long. The record is from Rfam. NCBI's taxonomy places the organism in Bacteria, Pseudomonadati, Pseudomonadota, Betaproteobacteria, Burkholderiales, Oxalobacteraceae.
GGAGAGGUGGCAGAGUGGUCGAAUGUACUUGACUCGAAAUCAAGCGUACGUUAAAUCGUACCGUGGGUUCGAAUCCCACCCUCUCCG